RNAcentral lists this ribosomal RNA (465 nucleotides) under uncultured bacterium. RNAcentral describes it as "partial 16S ribosomal RNA". It matches the Rfam family "Bacterial small subunit ribosomal RNA", at positions 28 to 507 of the family's 1533-position model. The record is from RNAcentral.
GACGAACGCUGGCGGCGUGCUUAACACAUGCAAGUCGAACGGAAAGGCCCCUUCGGGGGUACUCGAGUGGCGAACGGGUGAGUAACACGUGAGUAACCUGCCCUUGACUUCGGGAUAACUUCAGGAAACUGGGGCUAAUACCGGAUAGGAAUCCUUGCUGCAUGGUGGGGGUUGGAAAGCUUCGGCGGUUUUGGAUGGACUCGCGGCUUAUCAGCUUGUUGGUAGGGUAGUGGCUUACCAAGGCUUUGACGGGUAGCCGGCCUGAGAGGGCGACCGGCCACAUUGGGACUGAGAUACGGCCCAGACUCCUACGGGAGGCAGCAGUGGGGAAUAUUGCACAAUGGGCGGAAGCCUGAUGCAGCAACGCCGCGUGCGGGAUGACGGCCUUCGGGUUGUAAACCGCUUUCAGCAGGGGCGAAGCUUGUGGUGACGGUACCUGCAGAAGAAGCACCGGCUAACUACGUG